UUUGCUCACACUCUAACCUGUUCAAAGGCGAAUCCUAACGACGUCAGCAAGCUGUCGUCACCAGGAUACCAAAGAGAAGCCAGGUGGAACAGCCCUAAAGGUAUUCGUUGCAAUCCUCACUCCCGAAGGAGCCACAUCCCUCCAGCCUUUUUAUGACGUUCGAAAUUGAUGUUAACCAGCGGACACGAAAGUGCUCCCCCUCAUCGUGAGACACAUGCUGUGGCGGUUUUGAGGCUCGCCACAACAUGGGUCUCCCGACGAGAGGGUUGAUUUCGCGCCAGCACGACUG
This 289-nucleotide ribosomal RNA is filed under the name uncultured Glomeromycotina. Its description in RNAcentral is "partial large subunit ribosomal RNA". Lineage: Eukaryota; Fungi; Glomeromycota. The record is from RNAcentral.